This 497-nucleotide ribosomal RNA is filed under the name uncultured bacterium. RNAcentral's name for it is "partial 16S ribosomal RNA". It matches the Rfam family "Bacterial small subunit ribosomal RNA", at positions 28 to 507 of the family's 1533-position model. The record is from RNAcentral.
GAUGAACGCUGGCGGCGUGCCUAAUACAUGCAAGUCGAGCGAACGGACGAGAAGCUUGCUUCUCUGAUGUUAGCGGCGGACGGGUGAGUAACACGUGGAUAACCUACCUAUAAGACUGGGAUAACUUCGGGAAACCGUAGCUAAUACCGGAUAAUAUUUUGAACCGCAUGGUUCAAAAGUGAAAGACGGUCUUGCUGUCACUUAUAGAUGGAUCCGCGCUGCAUUAGCUAGUUGGUAAGGUAACGGCUUACCAAGGCAACGAUGCAUAGCCGACCUGAGAGGGUGAUCGGCCACACUGGAACUGGGACACGGUCCAGACUCCUACGGGAGGCAGCAGUAGGGAAUCUUCCGCAAUGGGCGAAAGCCUGACGGAGCAACGCCGCGUGAGUGAUGAAGGUCUUCGGAUCGUAAAACUCUGUUAUUAGGGAAGAACACAUGUGUAAGUAACUGUGCACAUCUUGACGGUACCUAAUCAGAAAGCCACGGCUAACUACGUG